GUUCGAUUCUUCGGCUUCGUCUAUUAUUUACAAGUUUUGACGUUGAUGCGUCUCUUAUCAGAUUUAAUUGUGAUCGAUUGUGUACUGUAAUUGCGAUUCGGACAUGAUUUUCUGCCCGGAGAAAAUUGCGAUGGAAACACGGAACCAAACCGAAUUCCAUCGAAAUAUAAUUCAAAAAAAAAAAGGAAAACACCCAAAUUGAUGGGCUGAUUUUAUAUUUGCUGCUGUUGGCUACUUCCAUGUAGCAAUGAUGAUGAUGCAUCGACCUGUAAUGGCGAUCUGAAAAACCUUAAAAAAUAAAAGGGCGUCAUCAGUUUCAAAAUUCAAAAGGCCAUAGGUGUCGCCAAGUCUAUCCAAAAACCCAUCCGCCCUAUAUCCAUGUGUGCAGCUAUCAUAUAAAUAGCCCAAACAAUUUAACGAUCUCUUUCUCUCUCUUUUGUCGCGUUUGACGACGUCCUUUGUGAAAAUUUAUUGGCCACUCUUUUAUUCUCCUUCUUCUAUUGUUUCUUUCUUAAGGUUCUGCUUCUUUUGUUUUGCGACCAUAAACAGAAAAAAUAACCAACCGAAUUGGACACGUGCCAAUCUUCUUUUGCUGUUGUUGCUCUCUCAGUCGAUAUCUUUUUUUGGCUUUGAUUCAAGGACUCUGCUCUGGUCGGCUAUCGCACUCUACUUUGCAUACAUCAGACACACAAUGCAUUUCGCCUAUCUCCUGUUCCAUUUUUCUACAAAUUUUCCGGUUAAUUAUUGAUUAAAAAAUAAACCAGAAAAGAAGUGCGUGAUUAUUUAAAUGAAGAGCUAUAGACGCAACGGCGGCUCGUUUUAUUCAAAUAUAAUUAGAGCCGAGUGUAGGUAAUAAUCAACAGCAGCCUUAAGUGCAUGUACACUGGGCGGUAUCUCCUUUAUGUGUGUGUGUGUGUAUACACUGAGCCUUUUAAUCAUGAAGACGUAAUGGACUAAUAACAUGCGAAAAUUCUUGGCUGAUGAGCAAAUCACGCCAAACAACAGCCAAAUUGUUUACCGAUGAUGUAACGUGUACAAGUUGUUGUCCCUGUGUGUUGCGUCCAUCAUAUCGCCAUACAUGGUCUUGGAUUUUUGGGUGGAAUUUCCACCUUUGGAUCAGCACAGAGUAUCAUAGAAAAAAGAAGAAUAGAUGUUCAAAACCUGUGAGACUGGCUCGAUUAUUUAUUCGGUGAUAAUCCAUCACUUUAGGGGGAAAUUCUUCCAAUCUCCAAGGGUUGUUGAUGCAAUGCCCUCUGGCACAUCUCGAUAUGGCGGUACUGUGUGAAUACAGAGAUUAGGUACUACACCAUCUGAUCUUAAUCAUCCGCUAUGUAGUGUAACAUCUUAUGUGAAUAUAAUUUCUGUAAAAUUCUAGUUAAGUCUGUUCUACCGUUAUAAUUCCUCCAUUUGAUAUAGAAAUAAUAACCAUUUGAUUGGAUUCUUUUGGGGGCCACAAUUACCUUUCAAUCACCGGCAAUGAUCCAUCAAUAAUCUAUAAGAAACACGGGAGACUCGCCCCACAAUGGGGAGGAUUCUCAUUCCACAACAAUAUAACAAUGCACCAAGCUGUUAUGUAUAGCGUAGAAGAAUAUCAAUUU
RNAcentral lists this long non-coding RNA (1598 nucleotides) under Daphnia pulex (common water flea). RNAcentral's name for it is "uncharacterized LOC124196126". The record is from RNAcentral. Lineage: Eukaryota; Metazoa; Arthropoda; Branchiopoda; Diplostraca; Daphniidae.